This is a long non-coding RNA of Hyla sarda, 474 nucleotides long. RefSeq lists it as uncharacterized. The record is from RefSeq and is a predicted model, not a curated record. The transcript has 3 exons. NCBI's taxonomy places the organism in Eukaryota, Metazoa, Chordata, Amphibia, Anura, Hylidae.
AGGUGAAACUUUGGCUUUUGAUGUGCAAACAGCCCUAAAGUCUACAUCAAAAUCUGCCCGCAGUGUUUGUAUUUAUGUACAUACCCUUACAUGGUUUUGUUUGUUAAGGGCUAUACUCGGGACACAUGCGCACCCGCCAUCUCGUGGGAUGCAUGUGCAUUGCGCACCCGCCUGCCUUACCCGCCACACUGUGAUUAUCCUCUGUCAUGGUGCCGGCUGGCGUCAUUCACCUACUGCCCCCACUCCCGGGGUCUACAGUCACCUCCCACAGUCAUAAUGGUGUUACCGAAACGUUGUCUGACGGCGCUUGAAUAAAGCUACUUUUCAUCACUGCAUUUGUGAGUGCUACGGUGGUCCUCCCCUUUCUGUAUAUGCAAGAGGCCCUGGAACAGAGAUCCCACACAUACAGCACCUGCAUGCCAUCCAUACCCCUUGGAGUGCUGCUCCUUCUUGGUUUCUCUAGAUAGAUAGAUA